CGUAUCACCCAAGACAACUUUACGGAGUUGACGAUUGACGGAGCGAAGCGACGUCAAAGCGUUCAUUAAAGUCGAGUUGGCUUAGGGAUACGUUCGUUGGGUAGGGGAGCGUUCUGUAAGCCUGUGAAGGUGUGUCGUGAGGCAUGCUGGAGGUAUCAGAAGUGCGAAUGCUGACAUAAGUAACGAUAAAGCGGGUGAAAAGCCCGCUCGCCGGAAGACCAAGGGUUCCUGUCCAACGUUAAUCGGGGCAGGGUGAGUCGACCCCUAAGGCGAGGCCGAAAGGCGUAGUCGAUGGGAAACGGGUUAAUAUUCCCGUACUUGGUGUUACUGCGAAGGGGGGACGGAGAAGGCUAUGUUGGCCGGGCGACGGUUGUCCCGGUUUAAGGGUGUAGGUGUGUGUUCCAGGUAAAUCCGGUUCACUUUAACACUGAGGCGUGACGACGAGGCACUACGGUGCUGAAGCAACAAAUGCCCUGCUUCCAGGAAAAGCCUCUAAGCAUCAGGUAACACGAAAUCGUACCCCAAACCGACACAGGUGGUCAGGUAGAGAAUACCAAGGCGCUUGAGAGAACUCGGGUGAAGGAACUAGGCAAAAUGGUGCCGUAACUUCGGGAGAAGGCACGCUGACACGUAGGUGAAGUGAUUUACUCAUGGAGCUGAAGUCAGUCGAAGAUACCAGCUGGCUGCAACUGUUUAUUAAAAACACAGCACUGUGCAAACACGAGAGUGGACGUAUACGGUGUGACGCCUGCCCGGUGCCGGAAGGUUAAUUGAUGGGGUCAGCGUAAGCGAAGCUCCUGAUCGAAGCCCCGGUAAACGGCGGCCGUAACUAUAACGGUCCUAAGGUAGCGAAAUUCCUUGUCGGGUAAGUUCCGACCUGCACGAAUGGCGUAAUGAUGGCCAGGCUGUCUCCACCCGAGACUCAGUGAAAUUGAACUCGCUGUGAAGAUGCAGUGUACCCGCGGCAAGACGGAAAGACCCCGUGAACCUUUACUAUAGCUUGACACUGAACAUUGAGCCUUGAUGUGUAGGAUAGGUGGGAGGCUUUGAAGUGUGGACGCCAGUCUGCAUGGAGCCGACCUUGAAAUACCACCCUUUAAUGUUUGAUGUUCUAACGUGGACCCGUAAUCCGGGUUGCGGACAGUGUCUGGUGGGUAGUUUGACUGGGGCGGUCUCCUCCUAAAGAGUAACGGAGGAGCACGAAGGUUGGCUAAUCCUGGUCGGACAUCAGGAGGUUAGUGCAAUGGCAUAAGCCAGCUUGACUGCGAGCGUGACGGCGCGAGCAGGUGCGAAAGCAGGUCAUAGUGAUCCGGUGGUUCUGAAUGGAAGGGCCAUCGCUCAACGGAUAAAAGGUACUCCGGGGAUAACAGGCUGAUACCGCCCAAGAGUUCAUAUCGACGGCGGUGUUUGGCACCUCGAUGUCGGCUCAUCACAUCCUGGGGCUGAAGUAGGUCCCAAGGGUAUGGCUGUUCGCCAUUUAAAGUGGUACGCGAGCUGGGUUUAGAACGUCGUGAGACAGUUCGGUCCCUAUCUGCCGUGGGCGCUGGAGAACUGAGGGGGGCUGCUCCUAGUACGAGAGGACCGGAGUGGACGCAUCACUGGUGUUCGGGUUGUCAUGCCAAUGGCACUGCCCGGUAGCUAAAUGCGGAAGAGAUAAGUGCUGAAAGCAUCUAAGCACGAAACUUGCCCCGAGAUGAGUUCUCCCUGAGACUUAGAGUCUCCUGAAGGAACGUUGAAGACGACGACGUUGAUAGGCCGGGUGUGUAAGCGCAGCGAUGCGUUGAGCUAACCGGUACUAAUGAACCGUGAGGCUUAACCUUACAACGCCGAAG
RNAcentral lists this ribosomal RNA (1832 nucleotides) under Salmonella enterica. RNAcentral's name for it is "partial 23S ribosomal RNA". It matches the Rfam family "Bacterial large subunit ribosomal RNA", at positions 1154 to 2925 of the family's 2925-position model. Lineage: Bacteria; Pseudomonadati; Pseudomonadota; Gammaproteobacteria; Enterobacterales; Enterobacteriaceae. RNAcentral also lists the same sequence under 1 other name. The record is from RNAcentral.